GGGUUGUGAGGUUAAGCGACUAAGCGUACACGGUGGAUGCCCUGGCAGUCAGAGGCGAUGAAGGACGUGCUAAUCUGCGAAAAGCGUCGGUAAGGUGAUAUGAACCGUUACAGCCGGCGAUGUCCGAAUGGGGAAACCCAGUGCAAUUCGUUGCACUAUCGUUAACUGAAUACAUAGGUUAACGAGGCGAACCGGGGGAACUGAAACAUCUAAGUACCCCGAGGAAAAGAAAUCAACCGAGAUUCCCCCAGUAGCGGCGAGCGAACGGGGAGCAGCCCAGAGUCUGAAUCAGCUUGUGUGUUAGUGGAACGGUCUGGAAAGUCCGACGGUACAGGGUGAUAGUCCCGUACACCAAAAUGCACAGGCUGUGAACUCGAAGAGUAGGGCGGGACACGUGGUAUCCUGUCUGAAUAUGGGGGGACCAUCCUCCAAGGCUAAAUACUCCUGACUGACCGAUAGUGAACCAGUACCGUGAGGGAAAGGCGAAAAGAACCCCGGCGAGGGGAGUGAAAAAGAACCUGAAACCGUGUACGUACAAGCAGUGGGAGCACCUUCGGGUGUGACUGCGUACCUUUUGUAUAAUGGGUCAGCGACUUAUAUUCUGUAGCAAGGUUAACCGUAUAGGGGAGCCGCAGGGGAAACCGAGUCUUAACUGGGCGUUAAGUUGCAGGGUAUAGACCCGAAACCCGGUGAUCUAGCCAUGGGCAGGUUGAAGGUUGGGUAACACUAACUGGAGGACCGAACCGACUAAUGUUGAAAAAUUAGCGGAUGACUUGUGGCUGGGGGUGAAAGGCCAAUCAAACCGGGAGAUAGCUGGUUCUCCCCGAAAGCUAUUUAGGUAGCGCCUCGUGAAUUCAUCUUCGGGGGUAGAGCACUGUUUCGGCUAGGGGGUCAUCCCGACUUACCAACCCGAUGCAAACUACGAAUACCGAAGAAUGUUAUCACGGGAGACACACGGCGGGUGCUAACGUCCGUCGUGAAGAGGGAAACAACCCAGACCGCCAGCUAAGGUCCCAAAGUCAUGGUUAAGUGGGAAACGAUGUGGGAAGGCACAGACAGCCAGGAUGUUGGCUUAGAAGCAGCCAUCAUUUAAAGAAAGCGUAAUAGCUCACUGGUCGAGUCGGCCUGCGCGGAAGAUGUAACGGGGCUAAACCAUGCACCGAAGCUGCGGCAGCGACACUAUGUGUUGUUGGGUAGGGGAGCGUUCUGUAAGCCUGCGAAGGUGUGCUGUGAGGCAUGCUGGAGGUAUCAGAAGUGCGAAUGCUGACAUAAGUAACGAUAAAGCGGGUGAAAAGCCCGCUCGCCGGAAGACCAAGGGUUCCUGUCCAACGUUAAUCGGGGCAGGGUGAGUCGACCCCUAAGGCGAGGCCGAAAGGCGUAGUCGAUGGGAAACAGGUUAAUAUUCCUGUACUUGGUGUUACUGCGAAGGGGGGACGGAGAAGGCUAUGUUAGCCGGGCGACGGUUGUCCCGGUUUAAGCAUGUAGGCUGGUUGUCCAGGCAAAUCCGGAUAAUCAAGGCUGAGGUGUGAUGACGAGGCACUACGGUGCUGAAGUAACAAAUGCCCUGCUUCCAGGAAAAGCCUCUAAGCAUCAGGUAACAUUAAAUCGUACCCCAAACCGACACAGGUGGUCAGGUAGAGAAUACCAAGGCGCUUGAGAGAACUCGGGUGAAGGAACUAGGCAAAAUGGUGCCGUAACUUCGGGAGAAGGCACGCUGGUGUGUAGGUGAAGUCCCUGCGGAUGGAGCUGAGACCAGUCGAAGAUACCAGCUGGCUGCAACUGUUUAUUAAAAACACAGCACUGUGCAAACACGAAAGUGGACGUAUACGGUGUGACGCCUGCCCGGUGCCGGAAGGUUAAUUGAUGGGGUUAUCCGUAAGGAGAAGCUCUUGAUCGAAGCCCCGGUAAACGGCGGCCGUAACUAUAACGGUCCUAAGGUAGCGAAAUUCCUUGUCGGGUAAGUUCCGACCUGCACGAAUGGCGUAAUGAUGGCCAGGCUGUCUCCACCCGAGACUCAGUGAAAUUGAACUCGCUGUGAAGAUGCAGUGUACCCGCGGCAAGACGGAAAGACCCCGUGAACCUUUACUAUAGCUUGACACUGAACAUUGAGCCUUGAUGUGUAGGAUAGGUGGGAGGCUUUGAAGCGUGGACGCCAGUCUGCGUGGAGCCAACCUUGAAAUACCACCCUUUAAUGUUUGAUGUUCUAACGUUGGCCCUUACCGGGGUUGCGGACAGUGUCUGGUGGGUAGUUUGACUGGGGCGGUCUCCUCCCAAAGCGUAACGGAGGAGCACGAAGGUUAGCUAAUCCUGGUCGGACAUCAGGAGGUUAGUGCAAUGGCAUAAGCUAGCUUGACUGCGAGCGUGACGGCGCGAGCAGGUGCGAAAGCAGGUCAUAGUGAUCCGGUGGUUCUGAAUGGAAGGGCCAUCGCUCAACGGAUAAAAGGUACUCCGGGGAUAACAGGCUGAUACCGCCCAAGAGUUCAUAUCGACGGCGGUGUUUGGCACCUCGAUGUCGGCUCAUCACAUCCUGGGGCUGAAGUAGGUCCCAAGGGUAUGGCUGUUCGCCAUUUAAAGUGGUACGCGAGCUGGGUUUAGAACGUCGUGAGACAGUUCGGUCCCUAUCUGCCGUGGGCGCUGGAGAAUUGAGGGGGGCUGCUCCUAGUACGAGAGGACCGGAGUGGACGCAUCACUGGUGUUCGGGUUGUCAUGCCAAUGGCACUGCCCGGUAGCUAAAUGCGGAAGAGAUAAGUGCUGAAAGCAUCUAAGCACGAAACUUGCCCCGAGAUGAGUUCUCCCUGAGACUUUAAGUCUCCUGAAGGAACGUUAAAGACGAUGACGUUGAUAGGCCGGGUGUGUAAGCGCAGCGAUGCGUUGAGCUAACCGGUACUAAUGAACCGUGAGGCUUAACCUUACAACGCCGAAG
This 2923-nucleotide ribosomal RNA is filed under the name Klebsiella pneumoniae. RNAcentral's name for it is "bacterial LSU rRNA". It matches the Rfam family "Bacterial large subunit ribosomal RNA". Lineage: Bacteria; Pseudomonadati; Pseudomonadota; Gammaproteobacteria; Enterobacterales; Enterobacteriaceae. The record is from RNAcentral.